RNAcentral lists this small RNA (118 nucleotides) under Streptomyces zinciresistens K42. Its description in RNAcentral is "Actinobacteria sRNA Ms_IGR-7". It matches the Rfam family "Actinobacteria sRNA Ms_IGR-7". Lineage: Bacteria; Bacillati; Actinomycetota; Actinomycetes; Kitasatosporales; Streptomycetaceae. The record is from Rfam by way of RNAcentral.
ACGAGGUGCCUUGCUGAUUGGUGCCGAUGGAAGCGUCGUAACUCCCAUCAUCCCAGGUCAGCGGGCACCUCUUCUAUAUCCGGGGCCAUCCGAACCGAUCGUCACACGGUGGAUCCAG